CGCCUUGACGAACAGCCAUUUUGUUUUCUCUCCUUCCCGUUUCUGUGCCGGUCACCCUGCUUGUUUGGUGUUUGUCAUUUUAAGAAGUAUUAUUCAUGAAAAGUAGCGGGUUGUGAACUACAAAAUAGGUGACUCAAAGAUGUCUCGGUACCGAGAUUCUGGUAAUGCAGACUGCAAGAUUUAUGUUGGAGAUUUAGGAUCAUCCGCUUCAAAACAAGAUUUGGAAGAAGCAUUUUCUUAUUAUGGACCGAUCCGUAAUGUUUGGGUGGCCAGAAACCCACCCGGCUUUGCAUUUGUUGAAUUUGAAGACCCCAGAGAUGCAGAGGAUGCAGUACGAGGUUUGGACGGAAGGACUGUGUGUGGCCGACGUGUGAGGGUAGAGAUGUCUAACGGAGCUCGUAAGAGUGGUUAUCGAGGUCCGCCACCUCGCCGCAGCCGCCCGUUCCACCCGGAGGAUCGCUGCUAUGAGUGUGGCGAGCGUGGACAUUACGCUCGGGACUGCACACGCUACCGAGGCCGAGGAAGGAGAAGGUCAUAUAGUCGUAGCAGGUCUCGCUCACGCUCUCGUGACCGCCGCACUCGUAGCCGCAGCGCCUCUCGCAGUAGAUCCCGUGGCCGCAGCAAGUCACGCACACCCAAGGACCGCAGCAAGAGCAAGUCCAGGUCCAGGUCCCGUUCGCGCAGCAGGUAAACAAAUCGCCCAGAGCCAACUGAACAUCUAGUAUAACGUUCCAAACCAUCUGCAAAAAAAGUCAAAUUGCUGUACUCACUCAUUUGGAACAACUGGAUGUCCAUGAAGUUAUACCACCUCAUUCAGUGUAGUUUUACCUUUAUGGCAUAAGUAUUAGAAUAUCAAUGUUGUAUUUUGACUAUUUUGUACUAAGUUUGUUUCAACAUGCUUGUAAUCAUUUUAAUUUUUUAUAGUUUGUCAGUUCUAAGUUUUGUUCUCAAGUGGGGAGGAAAUUAAUGUCUUUAAAUGCAAUAAAGGACUCCAUUUACCUAAUGAAGUAUAAUGAUUUGAAGUUUUUUAAUAUUGAAAAAUAUUGACAACUCUCAUACAACUUCCUGUGUCGAUAAAUUGGGUUUUUUCCUCAUGCUAGAUUCCCAAUAUUCUUAUACUUAAAGAUAUUAGUUAUCUCUACAUUUGAACAGUUUUUGACAAGGUUUAAUCCUACCUAAUAUACGACCUAAAUAGGCAUAUUGUAUUUUUUGUCUUGAUUUUAAAUAAUAACU
Molecule: RNA transcript, 1233 nt
Organism: Macrosteles quadrilineatus (aster leafhopper)
Lineage: Eukaryota; Metazoa; Arthropoda; Insecta; Hemiptera; Cicadellidae
Gene name: serine/arginine-rich splicing factor 7-like
Exons: 7
Source: RefSeq, a predicted model, not a curated record